AGUAGAGUGACAACUUUUUUUCUAUUCCAAUUAAAGCUGUGCAUCUCGAGUGUGUGCAGAUGUCACAAAUGGAGUGAAACAACUUCUGUUGAAGUUUUCUUUGACAUUAGUUUUGCUUCAACGUUUUAGUAGGUAGGGCUCUGAACUGGAUGCUCGAAGCGUGGGAUCUGUUUCUGUUUACUUCACUUCCAACAGUGUGGUCUCAGGUAAUAUAAUAUGUUUGUUACUUGGUUUGCUGAUCUAUGUGUUGGAAGCAAUGCUCGUCGCAGGAAGAUUGACUACAUAGCCUGCUUUCAUAGCUUGGGUGUAUUUAUCCCGUGCCUUAAUAGUUGAUACUGCCAGUGGUUUACUCCUGUGGAGUAAAGGUAAGCACGUUUUAGUUUUCUGGAGUAUUAUAUUGUACAUUGGAGGUAGACAUUUAAGACUGCUGGGGGUGGAGUGGGGAGACUCAUAUUACUGGCAGCGUUUGGCCAAUAAUCAAGGUGAUCGUUUUAAGUAUUGGGUCAUGUUCUUUAAGCUCCUGCUUAUUUAUUUAGACUUGAAACUGCCACAAAGCCCAAACAGCCAGGAAAUCCAGUGCCUGUCUCCCUACCCCCCCAAGCCUUCUAAGAAAGAUAGAUGAAAGAACUAUCAGCCAAUAUACUCAGAGAGCAACCAACAGACAGUGUUGUGGAAUGAAUCUUCUGCAAUUUUUCUCUUACUAUUGUUAGAAAGUAGUGUUAUUUUAAAGCACUGCAAGAUUCCAAAUUUCCAUCAAAAUUUUUUUCUGAGUUUAGUGUUGGGAUUUAAAUUGAUUUCUAAUAGAAAACUUGACAGAAUUAUGAGUGUGUAGUAAUCUCAGUUAACCAGAACCUUAACCUCUAGGUUAAGGAAACCUCAUUCCUUAACCUCUAGGUAGAUGAGAGUUUACCUUCAUGUUAAUGUGAAAAUAGAAGAUGUCAUUCCUGUGUGGAAAUGAAAUGAAGACAAGGGAAGAAUUGGGGUUGAACAUUGACAGUUUGUUCAAAAACUAUCAUGUUUAAUCUAUUAGUUAUGGUUCAACUCAGCUUUUUUAGUCAUUAGGUUAAUUCAGAGUAUGAAGAAAUGAAAUUAAUGUAUUAGAGGAAUUACUCUUACUGAAAAGUUUAUCAGGCUGUUUCCAAAGGUAUUUUUUAUACAGAUUCUAAAAAGACACCAUGUGAUAGUAUCUACUUGCAAAACAUAAACCCCUCCUUGCCAUUUUACGUAAUUACUGACCUAAUUUUAAAGUAAAUCUGUAAUUUUAAGGAAAAAUACUCCUUUCUUAUCUCUUGGUGAGAUUUCGUUAUACUUACAUUUCAGGAUUUUAAAAGAAUAAUCAUAAUGAUAAAAUGCCAGAAAUUCGUUGACGUGAGGGUUAGUGGUAUUCUUGAGUAACACUCCUCUGAAAGGUGACAGUGAUUGGCCGGUUAUGUUACGUACUUAUGUGUAUCAGAUUGACUUUCUGUUAUGUUUUUAAACUGUCAGAAUUUGUUAUGAAGCCACAUAUAGAAGAUCAUGAGUUGUUGGGAAGUUUUGAAAAGUUUCGGAAUACUUUUACAAAAUUGGUGAAAAAAACGUAACAGCGUUUAUCAUUUUACCUUGAGUAAGGUGUUUCACAGUGAAGAUUUGUUAGAAGCAUCUUUUUCUUUUAAUAAAAAAUACUUCAUGUUGACUCGGGAGUGUUAAGACUAGUGAUCUCGGUAGUUCUUGUAUCAGCCGGCACUGCCUCAUCCGUAUUGGCUUUGAUACUUUGAAUUUACUCCGUAUGUAGACUCCAGACCAGGUCAUCAGUAUGAUUUUGGAACUACGUUUUAUUUAAGAGUCUUAGCCUAAUGUCCAGUCUCUAUGUUUUUUACAUGGGAUGUUCAAAUUUUCUGGGUUAGAGUCUUUAGCAUGAAAAAUAAUCCUAGGAUCCACUGAUCUAAAACUCAUUCUAGCUUUUCUCCCUUAAUAUUGGAAGCUGCAUUCAGCCCAUGCAGAUGAAGCAAAAUUACUUUUGGCAUUCCCAUUGUGGCCCAGCGGUUAACAAACCCAACUAGUAUCCAUGAGGAUGCUGGUCGAUCGCUAGCCUCGCUCAGUGGGUUGAGGAUCCACGGUUUCGUGAGCUGUGGUGUUGGUCGCAGAUGUGGUUCAGAUCUGGAGUUGCCAUGGCUGUGUUGCUGGCCUAUGCCGCGGCUCAUGGCAGCAUCAGAUCCUUUAACCCACUGAGCGAGGCCAUGGAUCAAACCUGCAUCCUCAUGGAUACUGGCUGGGUUCAUAACCCGCUGAGCCGCAGCAGGAACUCCCAAGACAUUUUCUUUUGUGUUACACGUUUAUGUCUUGGUGUCCCUACUGAAUGAAAUUGGGGUGGAUUUUAUGUGUUCCUUUAGUAAAAAUGGAAUGGAUGCAGUUCAUAGUAUCCCUGCCUGUCCGGUUAUCAGCUGUGCAGCACCAUUCCUUAUUAGAGCAGAAGAAAAAGUGCUUUGGGGCUGCCAGAUUUAAUGCAUUUGUC
RNAcentral lists this long non-coding RNA (2491 nucleotides) under Sus scrofa (pig). RNAcentral describes it as "lncRNA (ENSSSCG00005036768.1)". The record is from RNAcentral. Lineage: Eukaryota; Metazoa; Chordata; Mammalia; Artiodactyla; Suidae.